RNAcentral lists this long non-coding RNA (300 nucleotides) under Callithrix jacchus (white-tufted-ear marmoset). Its description in RNAcentral is "lncRNA (ENSCJAG00000082090.1)". The record is from RNAcentral. Lineage: Eukaryota; Metazoa; Chordata; Mammalia; Primates; Cebidae.
AUGUAUAGGUAUAACCCAGGGUCAUUUAAUUUCUUUUUAAGUGGGAUUCUUUUGGGACCAGGGAUGGUUUUUUUUUUUUUUUUUUUUUUUUUUUUUUUUUUUUUUAGUAUAAUAGAUCUAAAUUUAUACACUUGGCUACUCUUCCAGGACAGCCUGGUCCCCGACAUAAAUCAUCUCAUUUCAGUAGCUACAGAUUCAGAGCAAAUUGGAAUUGGCAAAAAAUGGAGAGAGUCUGUGGAAGGAUAAAUCCAAGGAUCUCAUAAUUACCAGAAACUCUGGGGAGAGCAGAAAGGGAAAAAG